This 253-nucleotide ribosomal RNA is filed under the name uncultured bacterium. RNAcentral describes it as "partial 16S ribosomal RNA". It matches the Rfam family "Bacterial small subunit ribosomal RNA", at positions 524 to 776 of the family's 1533-position model. The record is from RNAcentral.
UACGUAGGGAGCAAGCGUUGUCCGGAAUCAUUGGGCGUAAAGCGCGCGUAGGUGGCCACAUAAGUCCGUUGUGAAAGUCAAAGGCUCAACCUUUGAAAGCCGAUGGAUACUGUGUGGCUAGAGUACGGAAGAGGCGAGUGGAAUUCCUGGUGUAGCGGUGGAAUGCGCAGAUAUCAGGAGGAACACCAAUAGCGAAGGCAGCUCGCUGGGACGUUACUGACACUGAGGCGCGAAAGCGUGGGGAGCGAACGGG